AUUGUAUCCACGAUUGGGGAAUUUUCCGCAAUGGGCGAAAGCCUGACGGAGCAAUACCGCGUGAGGGAGGAAGGCUCUUGGGUUGUAAACCUCUUUUCUCAGGGAAGAAGAAUGACGGUACCUGAGGAAUCAGCAUCGGCUAACUCCGUGCCAGCAGCCGCGGUAAUACGGAGGAUGCAAGCGUUAUCCGGAAUUAUUGGGCGUAAAGCGUCUGUAGGUGGACGUUCAAGUCUGCUGUCAAAGACCGGGGCUUAACCCUGGAAAGGCGGUGGAAACUGAAAGUCUAGAGUGCGGUAGGGGUAGAGGGAAUUCCCAGUGUAGCGGUGAAAUGCGUAGAGAUUGGGAAGAACACCGGUGGCGAAAGCGCUCUGCUGGGCCUGCACUGACACUGAUGGACGAAAGCUAGGGGAGCGAAUGGGAUUAGAUACCCCAGUAGUCAAUCGUGGAUACAAU
Molecule: ribosomal RNA, 453 nt
Filed under: uncultured cyanobacterium
Lineage: Bacteria; Bacillati; Cyanobacteriota
Description: bacterial SSU rRNA
Rfam family: Bacterial small subunit ribosomal RNA
Source: RNAcentral